RNAcentral lists this ribosomal RNA (757 nucleotides) under uncultured Thalassiosira. Its description in RNAcentral is "partial Bacterial large subunit ribosomal RNA". It matches the Rfam family "Bacterial large subunit ribosomal RNA", at positions 146 to 876 of the family's 2925-position model. Lineage: Eukaryota; Bacillariophyta; Thalassiosirophyceae; Thalassiosirales; Thalassiosiraceae. The record is from RNAcentral.
AGUUACCGCCAGCUGAAUGUAUAGGCUGGUUGGGGGGAACGCGGGGAAGUGAAACAUCUCAGUACCCGCAGGAAAAGAUAUUCCGUGAGUAGUGGCGAGCGAAAGCGGAGGAGGCUAAACCAGAUGCGUGCCAGAGGCGGCGGCCGUUGCGUGUUUGGUGUUGUGGGGCCAUGUUGGAUCCUUCUGCCGGGGGGUCGCGCGUGUUGUUGCUGGGAGUUGAACAGUCUGGGAUGGCUGACCGUAGAGCGUGAGAGUCGUGUAAGCGGACCGGUGGCAGUGUGUGUGGGUGUGGUGCCCGAGUAGCGCGGGACUCGUGAAAUCUCGUGUGAAUCUGCCAAGACCACUUGGUAAGCCUAAAUACUACUUGAUGACCGAUAGUGCAUAGUACCGUGAGGGAAUGGUGAAAAGUACCCCGGGAGGGGAGUGAAAUAGUACCUGAAACCGUGUGCCUGUAAGCCGUCAGAGCCUUGUGGGGUGAUGGCGUGCCUUUUGAAGAAUGAGCCUGCGAGUUAGUGAUACGUGGCGUGCUUAACCCGUGUGGGGUAUGCGUAGCGAAAGCGAGUCUGAAAUAUGGCGUUUGUCGCGUGUUCUAGACCCGAAGCGGGGUGAUCUACCCAUGGUCAGGUUGAAGCAGAGGUAAGACUGUGUGGAGGACCGAACCCACCAGGGUUGAAAACCUGGGGGAUGAACUGUGGGUAGGGGUGAAAGGCCAAUCAAACUCCGUGAUAGCUGGUUCUCCCCGAAAUGCAUUUAGGUG